RNAcentral lists this ribosomal RNA (450 nucleotides) under uncultured bacterium. RNAcentral's name for it is "partial 16S ribosomal RNA". It matches the Rfam family "Bacterial small subunit ribosomal RNA", at positions 354 to 796 of the family's 1533-position model. The record is from RNAcentral.
GUGGGGAAUAUUGGACAAUGGGCGAAAGCCUGAUCCAGCCAUGCCGCGUGUGUGAAGAAGGUCUUCGGAUUGUAAAGCACUUUAAGUUGGGAGGAAGGGCAGUAAGUUAAUACCUUGCUGUUUUGACGUUACCGACAGAAUAAGCACCGGCUAACUUCGUGCCAACAGCCGCGGUAAUACGAAGGGUGCAAGCGUUAAUCGGAAUUACUGGGCGUAAAGCGCGCGUAGGUGGUUUUGUAAGUUGGAGGUGAAAUCCCCGGGCUCAACCUGGGAACUGCCUCCCAAACUGCAUGACUAGAGGACGGUAGGGGGUAGUGGAAUUUCCUUUGUAGCGGUGAAAUGCGUAGAUAUAGGAAGGAACACCAGUGGCGAAGGCGGCUUCCUGGACUGAUACUGACACUGAGGUGCGAAAGCGUUGGGAGCAAACAGGAUUAGAAACCCUGGUAGUCC